GGCACUGUGGCUUAGUUGGUUAAAGCGUCUGUCUAGUAAACAGGAGAUCCUGUGUUCAAAUCCCAGCAGUGCCU
RNAcentral lists this transfer RNA (74 nucleotides) under Ameiurus melas (black bullhead). It matches the Rfam family "tRNA". Rfam says of the family: Transfer RNA (tRNA) molecules are approximately 80 nucleotides in length. Their secondary structure includes four short double-helical elements and three loops (D, anti-codon, and T loops). Lineage: Eukaryota; Metazoa; Chordata; Actinopteri; Siluriformes; Ictaluridae. The record is from Rfam by way of RNAcentral.